CCUACGGGUGGCAGCAGUGAGGAAUAUUGGUCAACGGACGCAAGACUGAACCAGCCAAGUAGCGUGCAGGAUGACGGCCCUCUGGGUUGUAAACUGCUUUUAGUUGGGGAUAAAAGGGGGCACGUGAGCUCCGUAUUAUAUGUACCAUCAGAAAGAGGAGCGGCUAAUUCCGUGCCAGCAGCCGCGGUAAUACGGAAGGUCCGGGCGUUAUGCGGAUUUAUUGGGUUGAAAGGGAGUGUAGGGCGGCUUUUAAGUCAGCUGGGAAACGCCGCGGCUCAACCGUGGAAUUGCGGUGGAAUCUGGCGGCCUUGAGUGCACACAGGGAUGCCGGAAUUCGUGGUGUAGCGGUGAAAUGCUUAGAUAUCAUGAAGAACUCCGAGCGCGAAGGCAAGUGUCGGCAGUGCUACUGACGCUGAGGCUCGAAGGUGCGGGUAUCAAACAGGAUUAGAUACCCCAGUAGUC
RNAcentral lists this ribosomal RNA (462 nucleotides) under uncultured bacterium. Its description in RNAcentral is "partial 16S ribosomal RNA". It matches the Rfam family "Bacterial small subunit ribosomal RNA", at positions 338 to 795 of the family's 1533-position model. The record is from RNAcentral.